AUUGAACGCUGGCGGCGUGGUUAAAGCAUGCAAGUCGAACGCACCCGCAAGGGUGAGUGGCGAAAGGGUCAGUAACAACAUCGAACGUACCCCGAGGUGUGGGAUAGGCAUGGGAAACUGUGCGUAAUACCACAUGAUCUCUCAGGAGCAAAGGUUUACCGCCUUGGGCUCGCGAUGUUCCUAUCAGCUAGUUGGGCGGGGUAACCGGCCCACCAAGGCGAUGACGGGGUAGCCGGGUGAGAGCACGACCGGCGACAUC
RNAcentral lists this ribosomal RNA (259 nucleotides) under uncultured bacterium. RNAcentral describes it as "partial 16S ribosomal RNA". It matches the Rfam family "Bacterial small subunit ribosomal RNA", at positions 30 to 314 of the family's 1533-position model. The record is from RNAcentral.